CGGUUGUGGUCCAGCAACAACCUUUCAUCUUGGUCACUCGUCCAGGAUUCUUCAGGACAAGCUCUACACAUCCAACAAUAUGGAGUAGGAAAUGGCAACCCACUCCAAUUUUCCACCUGGAAAAUCUCAUGGACAGAGGAGCCUGGUGGUCUACACUUCAGGGGUUGCAAAGAUUUGACAAGACUGAGCAAACAUACACACUUCUAACCUAGGCAGACACACACAUGAAGGCGACAGAACCUGAGACGUGGAGCAGUUGGAAGAGGAGGCACAAGUCAUCCACAGACGAGGAGAGAAUGGUCCAUGCAUCUCCUCAGUGGCCCUGUCCAGGGCAGGAAUGAGGAAAGAAUGGCCGAUGACAACUCAAGACAGUGGGUCCACUAAUCUGGAAUGAUAUCAGGAGACAUAAACAAGCUCACUAUU
This is a long non-coding RNA of Bubalus bubalis (water buffalo), 423 nucleotides long. RefSeq lists it as uncharacterized. The record is from RefSeq and is a predicted model, not a curated record. NCBI's taxonomy places the organism in Eukaryota, Metazoa, Chordata, Mammalia, Artiodactyla, Bovidae. The transcript has 3 exons.